This 243-nucleotide unclassified non-coding RNA is filed under the name uncultured Borrelia sp. RNAcentral describes it as "partial contains 5S-23S ribosomal RNA intergenic spacer and 23S ribosomal RNA". The stretch from base 161 to 243 matches the Rfam family "Bacterial large subunit ribosomal RNA", at positions 1 to 83 of the family's 2925-position model. Lineage: Bacteria; Pseudomonadati; Spirochaetota; Spirochaetia; Spirochaetales; Borreliaceae. The record is from RNAcentral.
UUUAAACCUUGAAUUUAUUUUUUAAAUGUUUAUAUUAUUUGAAURWWWCWWUCAAAUAAUAUAAAAAAUAAUAUAUAUAUUGACAUGGAUUAAACAAAGAUAUAUAUUAUUYUAUGUUGUAURAACAAAUUGGCAAAAUAGAGAUGGAAGAUAAAAAUAUGGUCAAAGUAAUAAGAGUCUAUGGUGRAUGCCUAGGAGCUUUAAGGCGAAGAAGGUCGUGGUAAGCUGCGAAAAGCUUGGGGG